Molecule: long non-coding RNA, 1389 nt
Filed under: Nicotiana tabacum (common tobacco)
Lineage: Eukaryota; Viridiplantae; Streptophyta; Magnoliopsida; Solanales; Solanaceae
Description: long non-coding RNA (NTAB_LNC001824)
Source: RNAcentral
UAGACAACACUUUUGAAGAAAAGGGAAAAUGGCAUAUGAUACUAAAAUAAUGCAAUGCAAGGAGUUUCAGUGUACCUUGACAAAUCCUUCCACAUUUAUGCUUUUAACCUAACAAACUCAUUCAGACCUAAAAUAAAUUGAUUUAAAAUGCCCCUUCUUUAACAAUAUAAGCUUUUAGAUGAGACGGUCAAGCAAUUCACAUAAACUUCCCAAAACCUCUAAACUAGCUCAUGAAUUCCGAGGACAUUAAUAUUAGUUGAUUCCAUUUCAGAUCAUUUAACACACACACACACACACAGAGAAAUACAUAGAGCAAGCUCCAGUUCACUGUACCAUCAUUUUUUUUUCUUUUCCUUUUACAGUGACGUGUAAUUACUAUUUACUUCUAGAUAGCUUUUCAACAAUUAAGUGAUCAAAUACAUGUUAGAUCAUUUAAAACACAGAUACGGAGAGAAAUACAUAGAGCAAGCUCCAGUUCACUGUACCAUCAUUUCUUUUCUUUCCCUUUGACACUGACAUCUAAUUACUAGUAGUAUUUACUUGUAGAUAGCUUUUCAAUUAUUAAGUGAUCAAAUGCAAAAUACACAGAUUUUUGGCUAUGACGUGCCAGAUAUCACUAAUGCCAAUGGAUCUUACUGACAAUAAGCAAAUUAAAGAUUAAAGCAAAGAAAAAACAGCACAUAACACCAUCUCAAUCAAUCACAACAAAUUAUGAUCACCUCAAUCCAUUUUCACAAGUUUAUCACCAACAAAUAACCUAUAUUUUUAUUUUUAGAUUUGGGCGGCAGUUCUAAUAACGAAUGCACGCAAAGCAGAACAAAUAUAUAUACACAUACAUAGAGCAAAGCCGCUAUCUAAAUCAAUCACAGAGAUUUUGAUCAACGCGAUCCAUUUCAAACAGAUUUAACACCUCAUUACACACUUCAAAUGCACAAAAAACAACACACAUACACACACGCACAAAAUCACUCAAAAUCACGGCUACGGAAUGAAGCGGAGAAGCAGUCGCUUCAUCUCUUACAAGUACGGCAUUAGCGAAAACAAUGAGAAAUCAGAAAAUGCGCGUUAAACUUACAGUGAAUUUCGCCGAUCCGAAAGCGAUAGCUCGUGCUUGUGAGGAAGAAAGUUGAAAGAAUAGAAUGCCGGUGAAACAAAAGAAAACCGUAUUCGAGAAGCCACAAAUAAUAUAUGGAUGGUAAAAUGUUUGGUGAUUGGGGGAAAGUGGAGAAGGACGGAUGUCACGAGGGCUGUGUGUGUGUGUGUGUGAGAGAGAGAGAGAGAGAGGAAAUGGACAAUGGAAAUGGAAUCAAAACUCUGCAAAUGCACCCCUUUCUGACUUCUCUCAGUCCUCAGUCCCCUUCUUUGGAGUUUUUUGCAGCACUAUGCCGC